Molecule: ribosomal RNA, 253 nt
Filed under: uncultured bacterium
Lineage: Bacteria
Description: partial 16S ribosomal RNA
Rfam family: Bacterial small subunit ribosomal RNA
Source: RNAcentral
GACAGAGGAGCCAAGCGUUGUCCGGACUGACUGGGCGUAAAGCGCCCGCAGGCGGCCGUGCACGUGGGGUGUGAAAGCUCGCGGCUUAACUGCGAGAGGCCAUCCCAUACGGCGCGGCUCGAGCCGUCCAGAGGCCGGUGGAAUUGCCGGUGUAGUGGUGAAAUGCGUAGAUAUUGGGAAGAACACCGAUGGCGAAGGCAGCCAUCUGGACCGAUACUGACGCUGAGGCGCGAAAGCGUGGGGAGCAAACAGG